UACGUAGGAGGCAAGCGUUGUCCGGAAUUACUGGGCGUAAAGCGCGUGUAGGUGGUGGGGACAAGUCUGCUGUGAAAGCGCCUGGCUUAACCGGGCGAGGUCGGCGGAAACUGUCCGACUCGAGGACGGUAGAGGGGGGGUGGAAUUCCCGGUGUAGUGGUGAAAUGCGUAGAGAUCGGGAGGAACACCUGUGGCGAAGGCGGCCCCCCUGGGCCCGGCCCUGACACUGAGACGCGAAGGCGUGGGGGAGCGAACGGG
Molecule: ribosomal RNA, 258 nt
Filed under: uncultured bacterium
Lineage: Bacteria
Description: partial 16S ribosomal RNA
Rfam family: Bacterial small subunit ribosomal RNA
Source: RNAcentral